This 3774-nucleotide long non-coding RNA is filed under the name Canis lupus familiaris (dog). RNAcentral's name for it is "lncRNA (ENSCAFG00845016406.1)". The record is from RNAcentral. Lineage: Eukaryota; Metazoa; Chordata; Mammalia; Carnivora; Canidae.
UUUUUUUUUUUUUUUUUUUAGAUUUUUAUUUAUUUAUUUGAGAGAGAGAGAGAGUGCAUGAAUGCAAAAGCAGGCGGAGGGGCAGAGGGAGAGGGAGAAGCAGACUCCCCGCUGAGCAGGGAGCCCGACUUAGGGCUUGAUCCAAGGACCCUAGGAUCAUGACCUGAGCUACCCAGGCACCCCAAGACAGAUUUUAAAAGAUUCAUUUGACCCACCCUCUGGAUGUUCUCCCCACCACUGUAGUUCUUAUAGUGACAAAACAAUGCAUUAGUUGUAAGUCCUCUACACAUUUGUUGAAGUGAUUCAACCUGUGUUGAUUCCUCAUCUGGAAAACUGAGCAUAAAAAUGUUUGCCCAGAACUGGGCAAUUUCAGUGACUUACCAUAUACUACCCACCUUAAUGAAAUACCUUUUUUCACUCUCUCAGUUGUAGUGUUUUCUGGUAAGCUGCUGCUGCUGCUGUGUAACAACCAAAUCCAAAGCAUAAUAACUUAGAGUAAGAGCCAUUUUAUUAUAACUUGUAAUGCUGUGAUCAGCAGUCCAGGCAGAGUGUGGCCUGGUGAUUCUUCCGUUCUCUACAGUGUCCACAGAGAUCAUUCGGUAGUACUCAGCUGGCUGAUAGGCUAGCACAGAGAGUCCAAGAUGGCCUUGCUUAUAUGUCCAGUACCUUGGAAGGCUGGGUUCAGAGAGUUGUCAAGGGGAGAAUCACUUGAGGCCUCUCCAGCAUGGCAGGCUCAGGAUAAUUACAUUCCUUUCACGAAGGCUCUAGUCUCCAAAGUUCCAGUGACGAAAGUAGAUGUUUCAUGUCCUUUUAUGACCUAGCCUUGGAAAUCAUAUGGAGUCAUUUUCACCAUAGUUAUGGACCGCCUCUCUCAAUGGGAAGAGGGUCAGAGCAUUUUGGAUGUUUUAAAACCAGCCUACAGGGGAUCCCUGAGUGGCUCAGCAGUUUAGCACCUGCCUUCUGCCCAGGGCGUGAUCCCGGAGUCCCGGGAUCAAGUCCCACUUUGGGAUCUCUGCAUAGAGCCUGCUUUUCCCUCUGCCUCUCUCUCUCUCUCUCUCUCUCUCUCUCUCUCUCUCUCAUGAAUAAAUAAAUAAAUAAAAUACUAAAAAAAAUAAAAGCAGCCCACAGUGUUAACCAUCUUCUGUUGCUCAUUAUGGGUUGGAAGUUCUACAAACUAAGAGCAAGUCUUUCAGGGAGAUAAGACGACAUUCACCUAGCACACCACAGCCCAGUCUGAAUAUUUUUUAUAGUUUUCCAGGUGGAAGAAAUACACGAUAAGCUAAAUCCCUGAAAAAUCUGUGUGAUGGGUAAGUUGGUUCCUGAAAAUAGGCCCCACCAAGAUGGGUAGCAGUUGUCCCAUGCUCAGUCCAAGACUCAGAUGUUGGUGUUUGGUUGGGUUUUUUUUUAAAGAUUUUUAUUUAUUUAUUCAUGAAAGACACAUAGAGAGAGCAAAGACAUAGGCAGAGGGAGAAGCAGGCUCCCUGCUGGAAAGCCUGAUGUAGGACUCAAUCCCAGGAUCCUAGGGUCACAACCUGAGCUGAAGGCAGAUGUUCAAUCACUGAGCCACCCAGGUGCCCCAGAUGUUGGUGUAUAAUUCCAUCUCUGGCCUCACUCUAUCCUUUUAUCUGCUUUGUAUCAAGCUCAGAAAAGAGCCAGAAACUCUGGGUGAGAGUUCAUGAAAACAGAGCAUGUCUACUCAACUCAAAAGAUCAGAAUUCUUGGGAUACCUGGGUGGCUCAGCAGUUGAGCAUCUAUCUGCCUUCUGCCCAGGGGAUGAUCCUGGGUCUAGGGAUUGAGUCCCACAUUGGGCUCCCUGUGAGAAGCCUGCUUCUGUCUAUGUCUCUGCCUCUCUCUUGUAUCUCUCAUGAAUAAAUAAAAUCUUAAAAAAAAAAGAUCAGAAUUCUUAACAUCAUAGAAAUCAUAAUGCCCAAGCAUGGUUCCUUUUUUCUCUCUCUUCCUUUAAUUUUUUUUUUUUGUGUGUGACUUCUUUGUUUUUCCCAUUCAUUUUUCCUUUCAUUCAACAAUAUUUAUUGAACUACUGACAAGUUCUGAGCCCACAGUCUAGAAUUGGUAACAGAUAGUCACAUCAUCUUAAUGACCAAUGUAUCAUUGCAAACUAAGAUCAAUGCUCUGCAGCAAGGAUCAACAAACUCUUGCAUAAAGGGCCAGAUAGUCAGUAUUUUAGGUUAUGUGGGCCAUAUGGUCUCAGUUGCAACCACUCAGCUCUGCCAUUGUAGCAAGAAAACAGCCAUGAACGUUACUCACAGUAGCCAAGACAUGGAAACAGCAAAAGUGUGCAUCAAUGGAUGAAUGGAUAAAGAAAAUAUGGUGUGUAUAUCCCACAUAUGUAUAGUACACACACACACACACACACACACACACAAUACAGUAGCAUAGUACUCAACCUUUAAAAAGAAGGAAAGUUUGUCAUUUGCAACAAUAAGGAGGAAUCUGGAGGACAUUAUGCGAAGUAAAAUAAGCCAGACACAGAAAAAUAAAGACUGCACAAUCUCAUUUAUAUCUAUAAUCUUUAAAAAAAAGCCUAAAAAACAAAAAAGGUCAAACUCAUAGUAACAGAGAGCAGAAUGAUGGUUACCAGAGACCAGGAGAUAGGAGAAAAGCAGAUAUUGGUCAGAGUACAAACUUUGAGUUAGAAUAUGAAUAAGUUCUGGAGCUUUAAUGGACAGCAUGAUGACUACAGUUAAUAAUAAUACUUGAAAUCUGCUAAGAGAGUGGAUCUUAAGUAUUUUCACCACACACACACACACACACACACGCAUACACAAGAUUGACUCUGAGAUGAUAGGUAGGCUAAUUAGCUUGGUUGUGGUGAUCAUUUCACAAUGUAUACAUCUAUCAAAACAUCAUGCUGUGAACCUAAGUAUAUAUGGUUUUUCACACCUCAGUAAAGCUGGAAAAAAUUUAAAAUAAGAAAACAGCUAUAGACAAUACAUAAAAAAUGAAUGUGGCCUUGUACACAUAAAACUUUAUUUGUAAAAACAGGGGGGAGGUCCAGAUUUGGUUCUAGGGCUGUAGUUUAUUUACCUCUACUUCUAAAGGUAAGAAACAUUGUUCUCUGAAGAUGUAUUACAAAGACAUUUGAUCUGCUUUAAUAUAUGGAGAAAAUGUGGGGGUUGUCUUUCUCUGAGAAAGUAACUUUUGAAUCACUAGGUACUAACCAGGUGAAGGAGUGCUUGAAGAGUGGCAUCAUGUGUUGGAAGAACUUUAAAAAGCUCAGUUUGGACAGAGGGAAGAAAGCUGGAGAGAAAUUAGCAAGACAUGAGAUUGGGAAGAGGUUAACCGUGGCAAAAUCAUGGCCAGUCUUGGUGAUCCUGGUAAAAUUUGGGGGGUUUUGAUCUCAAAGCAAUGGAAAGUCAGUGAAGGAUUUUAAAAGUUUUUUUUUUAAGGAUUUAUAAGUAAUUUUCUUUUUUCUCAACUAAGUCACUAUUGACCUAUCUGAAUGAGCUGAGCUUGCAUUUUCUCACAAGGAAUUAAUUUGCUAAAGAAGAGAAUGUGAUAGUAAUGCUACAGAGUUUAGGUGUUGCAUUUUGGUGGUCUUUACAACCUUGGAGCAUGGUCAUAGAAAUAAAAUCACACAUUCCAAGGGAUCAAAGAGGAUAAUGCAUGGAAAAGUACUUUUUCGAAGUAUUAAAAUGUUAUUCAAAUGAAAGGUCUUAUUAUUAUUCAAGGUUGGUACUCCAGAGGGAUUCCUUGCAUAAUUAACUAAUUGGUCUCACAUUUCUCACCAUGGAUUUUUAUUUAAAAAAAAAAAAA